UACGUAGGGUGCGAGCGUUAAUCGGAAUUACUGGGCGUAAAGCGUGCGCAGGCGGUUAUAUAAGGCAGAUGUGAAAUCCCCGGGCUCAACCUGGGAACUGCAUUAGUGACUGUAUAGCUAGAGUGCGGCAGAGGGGGAUGGAAUUCCGCGUGUAGCAGUGAAAUGCGUAGAUAUGUGGAGGAACACCAAUGGCGAAGGCAGCCCCCUGGGCCGAUACUGACGCUCAUGCACGAAAG
Molecule: ribosomal RNA, 236 nt
Filed under: uncultured bacterium
Lineage: Bacteria
Description: partial 16S ribosomal RNA
Rfam family: Bacterial small subunit ribosomal RNA
Source: RNAcentral